AAAACUCUCUAUCUAUAAUAUCUGUUACACAUCAUUACCAUCAGAAGUCUCAACAUUGAAGCAAGGUUUGAUCUGAGAUAUUCUCAGGCAGCUACAGUUAACUUACACAAUCAUGUACAUAUGAAGAAAGAAAGUUGCAGAGUCUAUGAAUUCAAAACAACAAGGAGAAAGGGACUGAAUGAUUGUUAAAACCUGACCAUCUUUAUUUAUUUUAUUUAGAGCGCAAUUUAUCUGCGACAUAGAGCAUAUGGCUGAUGUUUGUAGGAGGAUAGUUUUGAAGAAGUUUGAGGUUCGACGUGAAAUCACCAGCUAGCAGACGCCGUCGUACUAAUAUCAACAUUGCACAACAUACUCGAAGUAGCGUCUCCUGCAAAUUAAAGUUUCAUUUUCACUUGUUAGCCUUCUAUCUUACGAAACAACAAGUGCAUGUAGAGCCAAUUUACGAUAAGAUGCAAAGAGAAUCUCUAUGACUAUACCACAUACAAAAGCCAUAUCGUUGUAAAUGUCUCCUAAUUCUUCCCUACAUACAUGCACGAUAUAUUGUCCUAAACUAAGCUGCUUAGAGGUAUUGAAGUGAAACCCUUAAUGACUCAAGUCACUCACAAGAAUGGAAUCCACUUCGGAAACUGAAUAGUAAUAAAUUGAAUACUACCUGUGGACCUUCGGGGUCGCUUAAGAGUGUGUCCCAGAUGUGAAGGCUUUCCACGAAGUUGAACUCUUGAGUUAAGAGGAGUGUGAUCCAUCUGAACGCAUAGAAUUGUGGGUUUAUCUGAAAAUUGACACAUGGGGUAUCAACUGUCACAACGCUGAAACACUUCUAUAAAAUUACCGAAGCUCCAAAAAACGAAAAUUUUGAAAGCACUGGUAUAUACUGGUAUAUAUUACGGUUGCUUUUUAACAAUACAACUCUGAACCAGCAACAAUUCAUACCGGCAAAAUUUUCUAUUCCGAGACAUAAUUAAUGAAUAUAGCAAGGCGUCUCAUCAGUGAUAUCUUACUUUAGUUGUGACUUCUAGGUGACGCCAAAGUUCUUCAUCAUGAUGCUUUAAGAGCAUGGACAGCCUUGUUAUAGUGUAACGUAUACCCACCACACUGUUAUCAAGUUGCUGACAGAAAUUAUCUCGAAACCCACUCAUCAAUUCAACAAAACAGAAAAAUGCAUCUGCUUCAGCAUACGCCUGCAACACUUAAAAUGCCAGCGUUAAGCAAAUAAGGGGGGACGAGGUGGUGUUCUAUCCAAAAGACAUCCAUUAGAAGUAGAAAAAUGUGAGUAUAAAUAAAACAAGGAAAAAAAAAGAAAUGGUACAUUAGCAAGAGCUACUCACUGCAUUUCCUUUAUCUGGGUCAUUUUUAAAGAUGUAGAAGAUAGGUGCCAAUAUCUCAUUCAUCCCUUGUACAUAUCUGAUGCCAGGAUUCAACUUUGCAAAGAUAGUCAACACGUUCUUCAAAGCAUCCUGAAGAUGCAAGACAUGUACAAAAUGACCGGGAAGACUAUUAAUAUGCACAUGUUUCAACCAAACGCUUUAAAUAGGCAAACCCAAAAUCCAACCUGAUUAGAUUUUGCUACCGCUGAAUCUCCAGAGAAAAAGUGCAUGUCUGGAUGCGUACGCAUCACAUCACGGUCGAUCUGUUCCAAGACUUCCGUGUCCUGAAAGUACCAGUUUAAAAUUAGGAAGGUCAUUUUGCAGCUUUAAAUUCAACAUGAAAAAAACAGUACUAAACCACGAAGAGAAAAUGAUAUUUCAUAGUGAUUAUGUGCAGUCACCAAAGAGUUAUGCUUUUACAACCAACCGUAAGUGACAAAAUCAUGACGAAAGAAACAAAAUUUUAGAAGUGCAUAAGUGUGUGAGCAUUUACAAACUAAUAUCUGAUCAUAAUUCAGCUAUAUUAUCCAUGAUACUAUAACUUUCAGGCUACAUUCAGAACUCAAUACUAAGGUAAUAACAUCUAAACUUGACUCACAAAAUUGAUAAUAUUUGAGGAUAAUGAUAUCUCAAGCUGAAAUCUAAAUACCUUGAAAAAGUUGUUCCAUAAGCUUGUUGUUCCAAGACUUAAGGGAUGAUCCUCAUGAGUUAUCUCUGACCUUGAGAGGGCACCAGGGCUUUCGACUUUCGGAUCAUUACUAUCGCCACUCUUUGAUUUCUCCAUCUUCCUUGUUACUUCAGACUAACUAGCCACAAAAAUAUAUAGAAACCGGGGUUAUCCUAAAUAGAAAAAUAAGAAAGUGACAUGAAAAAGGAAGAGCUAUCACCCAGAUAACGUAAGCAUCUCUAUAAUGACCGAUUCUUCAUUAUUAACUACUUUAUUUAUCAUUGUACCUCUAGGAGAUAUCAUAUGCACAAUGGCCCUAGAACAGUCUGCUUAGUCAAACACAUGACAUCUAUUUAGCUGUCAUGUCAACAUAUUAAACCAACAAAUACAAGCAUGUGGAUCAAAAAAUAAUAAAAAUGUAUGCUUUCCCAUUAAACAUCACCGAAUUCUACUUAAUGACAGUCAUCAUCAUCUAAUGACAGUGAAUUUCCAUCAACACGCCCUUAGCUAGUGGCAACAACCCCAUUAUGUCUACUUCAUCACUCGUUUGUGUGUGUUCGGUCAAUCUAGCUAGUUAUCAUUUUGUAAGAGUGCCAUCAGAAGUCACAAACCAUGAAACCAAUCACUGACUACAAUGAACUCGAGCAUCAAAUGGACUUACGGGGUUCAUAAGAAGCUCCUCUUUGAAUUGCUUGUACUGAGACCUUUUCUUAGCUAACUCAGAAGACCACAGUGAGCGAUCAGGUGAAAGAUAGCCCAGUAAAAGCUGUCAAAAUCCGGAUAAACAAUAUGAAGCUAAAACUGAGAGAAACAGUUAAAACUCAAAUCCAUUCCUUUAAGAUAUUCGUUUAGGUACCUUCCAGACGAGGGAGCGAAUGCCAGCAUCAUCAGGUAGACCUUGUGAAGCAGUUCUCCUCAAUUCCUUUAAGUCUAUCACCUUCUUAGAUAACUAUCACAAAGAGCAAUCAAAAUAAAAGAAUGUACAGAGAGAGAGAGAGAGAGAUAAUGAGUUUGUGUGUGUGUGUUUAAGGACUAACCUCAGCGACGACCUGCGUCUUCCGAGAAACAUCCUCAGCCGCGGGAGUUACGCUUCCAGGUCCAUCUACCCCGCUCCCAUUCUGCAAAUCGUUAAUCUCAGAUUUGGAAGGAGGACGAAUCGGAAGAGGCGGAGCUGGUGCGGCGGAAAUCGUGGAAGGAGGAGGACGCUCGACGAUCGGAGGAGAUGGAGCGACGGCGGUGGCGGCGGGAGGAGGGCGAUCGUCGGGGAUGGGAGAAGGAGAGGAGGACCAGAGGGAACUGUUGAGCCACUCAGGGACACCUUUCUUCGCCAUUGUUUUUGAGGAAAAAUGUUUGGAGUCUCUUCUUGCUUCUUGCUACUUCUCUCUCUCUCUCGGGGGAGAGGUUAAGACCAAAAGGAGUUCCGUGUACAGCUGGCUGGCUGGCUGGGCCACGCUCUCUUAAUGCGUCCUUUUCUUUUUUCUAAAAUCCCCCUAAAUAAUACAACCUACUGCCAAAAUUGCAUAAAUUGACAUCAUUUUCCUUAUUUUCCACACUAUAUUUUUAUCUUCUUGUUACUAAACAAACUAGUGAUCGAAUUUUCACAUUUUACUAAGUCUUAAACUUAUCAUCUUUCAUGAGAUCCGUUAAACCAUUAUAAGUUAAUUUUGAUCAUAAGAUGUUAUAUCAACAUCGUGUGUAAUGAGUUGAUUUUUUCAAAAAAAAAAAAAAAGGUAAUGAGAUGACAUUAUGUUAUGGUGGGGUGGACCAUAUGAUAAACGAAAUCUAUUAAUAAGGAAAUUAACUGAGUUGAAAUACAAGCAAAGAGAUGUUACAAUGUAUAAGAAAUUGCCAACAUCAGGAACUUGAAGUUUUCUGCGAACAAGGAAUCAACCAAGAAACCGAAUCAAGCCAUAGCUAUAAACGUACCGAUCCAUUUUCUUGAGUCUUCAACAAAAUGUUUUAGAAUUCUCCAAGAAGAAGAUAGUAAGCAGCAAUAAUAAAACACAGCAGAAAAGACGCGAAGAGAAGGAAGAUGUAACAGUAUGGGAAAAGGACGAUCAUAAUCAUUAACAAGAUUAGUGAAAUCGUUCCACAACUCAUGACUGCUCUUUGCUUUUGUUGGAAGAAAACCAGGAGUUUUUUUUCUUUUUGACUUUGAACAAAAUAUUUGUCACACAAUUACUUCUUCAAUACACAAUUACUUCUUCAAUUUUUUUUAAUUUAUGAUUCAGAUCAUUUACCAAAUCAAACCAAGAAAAGAAACUUCCGUGAAAUGAUCAAAGAAUAAAAAUAUAAGAUCUGACAUCCUAAAAACUCUCUAUCUAUAAUAUCUGUUACACAUAAUUACCAUCAGAAAUCUCAACACUGAAGCAAGGUUUGAUCUGAGAUAUUCUCAGGCAGCUAAAGUUAACUUACACAAUCAUGUACAUAUGAUGAAAGAAAGUUGCAGAGUCUAUGAAUUCAAAACAACAAGGAGAAAGGGACUGAAUGAUUGUUAAAACCUGACGAUCUUUAUUUAUUUUAUUUAGAGCGCAAUUUAUCUGCGACAUAGAGCAUAUGGCUGAUGUUUGUAGGAGGAUAGUUU
This 4615-nucleotide long non-coding RNA is filed under the name Brassica napus (rape). RNAcentral's name for it is "long non-coding RNA (BNAP_LNC003451)". The record is from RNAcentral. Lineage: Eukaryota; Viridiplantae; Streptophyta; Magnoliopsida; Brassicales; Brassicaceae.